GUAGGUGAACCUGCGGAGGGAUCAUUACCGAGUGAGGGCCCCCGGGCCCGACCUCCAACCCCAUGUUAACUGACCCUGUUGCCUCGGGGGCGACCCGGCCUCACCGCCGGGGCCCCCGACGGACCUCACAACCCUGCAUCUUUGCGUCCGAGUCAAUAUUUGAAUAAAUCAAAACUUUCAACAACGGAUCUCUUGGUUCUG
This 201-nucleotide unclassified non-coding RNA is filed under the name rhizosphere metagenome. RNAcentral describes it as "partial ribosomal RNA internal transcribed spacer region". The record is from RNAcentral.